RNAcentral lists this ribosomal RNA (483 nucleotides) under uncultured bacterium. RNAcentral's name for it is "partial 16S ribosomal RNA". It matches the Rfam family "Bacterial small subunit ribosomal RNA", at positions 28 to 523 of the family's 1533-position model. The record is from RNAcentral.
GACGAACGCUGGCGGCGUGCUUAACACAUGCAAGUCGAACGGUGAAGGUGGAGCUUGCUCCGCCGGAUCAGUGGCGAACGGGUGAGUAACACGUGGGCAACCUGCCCCUCACUUCGGGAUAACUCCGGGAAACCGGGGCUAAUACCGGAUACGACCUCCUUGGGCAUCCUUGGAGGUGGAAAGUUUUUCGGUGAGGGAUGGGCCCGCGGCCUAUCAGCUUGUUGGUGAGGUAGUGGCUCACCAAGGCGACGACGGGUAGCCGGCCUGAGAGGGCGACCGGCCACACUGGGACUGAGACACGGCCCAGACUCCUACGGGAGGCAGCAGUGGGGAAUAUUGCACAAUGGGCGCAAGCCUGAUGCAGCAACGCCGCGUGAGGGAUGACGGCCUUCGGGUUGUAAACCUCUUUUAGUAGGGAAGAAGCGAAAGUGACGGUACCUGCAGAAAAAGCACCGGCUAACUACGUGCCAGCCGCCGCAGUAA